This 97-nucleotide ribosomal RNA is filed under the name Methanoregula sp. RNAcentral's name for it is "partial 16S ribosomal RNA". It matches the Rfam family "Archaeal small subunit ribosomal RNA", at positions 1 to 100 of the family's 1478-position model. Lineage: Archaea; Methanobacteriati; Methanobacteriota; Methanomicrobia; Methanomicrobiales; Methanoregulaceae. The record is from RNAcentral.
AUUCUGGUUGAUCCUGCCAGAGGCCACUGCUAUCGGAGUUCGAUUAAGCCAUGCGAGUCGAGAGGUGCAAGACCUCGGCAUACUGCUCAGUAACACG